This 387-nucleotide ribosomal RNA is filed under the name uncultured Pleosporales. RNAcentral describes it as "bacterial SSU rRNA". It matches the Rfam family "Eukaryotic small subunit ribosomal RNA", at positions 21 to 375 of the family's 1831-position model. Lineage: Eukaryota; Fungi; Ascomycota; Dothideomycetes; Pleosporales. The record is from RNAcentral.
UGUAGUCAUAUGCUUGUCUCAAAGAUUAAGCCAUGCAUGUCUAAGUAUAAGCAAUUAUACCGUGAAACUGCGAAUGGCUCAUUAAAUCAGUUAUCGUUUAUUUGAUAGUACCUUACUACUUGGAUAACCGUGGUAAUUCUAGAGCUAAUACAUGCUGAAAACCCCGACUUCGGAAGGGGUGUAUUUAUUAGAUAAAAAACCAAUGCCCUUCGGGGCUCUUUGGUGAUUCAUGAUAACUUUUCAGAUCGCAUGGCCUUGCGCCGGCGACGGUUCAUUCAAAUUUCUGCCCUAUCAACUUUCGAUGGUAAGGUAUUGGCUUACCAUGGUUUCAACGGGUAACGGGGAAUGGGGCGGGGGCGGCGGGCCGGGCGCGGGGCGCGGCGGGCG